GUGCAGCCUAUCCAGCAAGGUUGAGUCUGACGUGACUCUCCUUUCCUGUAUGUCUGCUAGAUGGACAUGGGGUGGUUUGAGGCCAUGUUGUUUGUCCCUUACAGCAUGGUUAUAGAAACCCCAGACAAGA
Molecule: small nucleolar RNA, 130 nt
Organism: Ctenopharyngodon idella (grass carp)
Lineage: Eukaryota; Metazoa; Chordata; Actinopteri; Cypriniformes; Xenocyprididae
Product: small nucleolar RNA SNORA9
Exons: 1
Source: RefSeq, a predicted model, not a curated record